RNAcentral lists this ribosomal RNA (402 nucleotides) under uncultured bacterium. RNAcentral's name for it is "bacterial SSU rRNA". It matches the Rfam family "Bacterial small subunit ribosomal RNA", at positions 359 to 776 of the family's 1533-position model. The record is from RNAcentral.
GAAUCUUGCGCAAUGGGCGAAAGCCUGACGCAGCAACGCCGCGUGUGUGAUGAAGGCCCUCGGGUCGUAAAGCACUGUUGGGAGAGAAGAAGAUCUGACGGUAUCUCCUGAGGAAGCACCGGCUAACUCCGUGCCAGCAGCCGCGGUAAUACGGAGGGUGCAAACGUUGCUCGGAAUCAUUGGGCGUAAAGCGCGCGUAGGCGGUCGCAUAAGUCCGGCGUGAAAGCCCAGGGCUCAACCCUGGAAUGCCGCUGGAAACUGUACGACUUGAGGGCGAGAGGGGCUUGUGGAAUUUCUGGUGUAGGGGUGAAAUCCGUAGAGAUCAGAAGGAACACCGGUGGCGAAGGCGACAAGCUGGAUCGCACCUGACGCUGAGGCGCGAAAGCGUGGGGAGCAAACAGG